CUAGACUUGACAUCUCCUGAAUUACUCUUAAUCGAGGAAGUCCCUUCGGGGACAGGAAGACAGGUGGUGCAUGGUUGUCGUCAGCUCGUGUCGUGAGAUGUUGGGUUAAGUCCCGCAACGAGCGCAACCCUUAUUGUUAGUUGCUACUAUUAAGUUAAGCACUCUAACGAGACUGCCGCGGUUAACGUGGAGGAAGGUGGGGAUGACGUCAAAUCAUCAUGCCCCUUAUGUCUAGGGCUACACACGUGCUACAAUGGCUGGUACAACGAGCAGCAAACCCGCGAGGGGGAGCAAAACUUGAAAGCCAGUCCCAGUUCGGAUUGUAGGCUGAAACUCGCCUACAUGAAGUUGGAGUUGCUAGUAAUCGCGAAUCAGCAUGUCGCGGUGAAUACGUUCCCGGGUCUUGUACACACCGCCCGUCACACCAUGCGAGCCGGUAACACCCGAAGCCCGUGAGGUAACCGUAAGGAGCCAGCGGUCGAAGGUGGGAUUGGUGAUUGGGGUGAAG
This 508-nucleotide ribosomal RNA is filed under the name Clostridium botulinum C. RNAcentral's name for it is "bacterial SSU rRNA". It matches the Rfam family "Bacterial small subunit ribosomal RNA", at positions 975 to 1485 of the family's 1533-position model. Lineage: Bacteria; Bacillati; Bacillota; Clostridia; Eubacteriales; Clostridiaceae. The record is from RNAcentral.